AGUUUAAAAUUUUUUUUUUUCAAUAGUUCAGACUUAAUUACAUACGUCAAAAAUAUAUUUCCUUUUUGUCUUUCUGGUAUCACAUGUUAAUUAAUAUACUCACAAUUAGUGACAAUUUCGAAUACUUGACACUUUUUUUGUAAAAAAAACAAUUGUUUUUUUUUUUGUUGAGAUAUCACAUCUUUUUGUAAAGUAAACAAUUUAUUUAUGCUAUCAAAUUAGUUUAGAGGUUAUGUCAUGCAUACAAACAAAUAAUAACAUACUGCAGUGCAACCAAAAUAUAAACACUAAAAAAAAGAGAAGAGAAGUAAUUGUAAAGUUUUCCAACUGAACGGAAGAAAUCUGGUCGAUUUGAUAAAAACGCAGACCAUAUGUAAGCACAUACUCGUUUUUCUUCAGUCUUAACUACUGAAGUAUCAGUAUCUGGCUCUGAAUCACUUGAAGUAAAAUCUGCUGACCCAUCGAGAGAAGGUGACAAUCGUUGCAGCAUAACUUUUGGCUUUUGGAGCUGAGUGAAUGCAGUUCUUGUAAUUUUAGGAUUCCAACCAGAAAAUCUUGGUUCUAAUGGAUCCAGCCUAUUGCUUAUAAAAAAACUUUCUUGGCUUAUUUUUUUGCAGAGUUUAUCAGAGUCCGUUAGAUCUGAAGAUACUUUCAAAAGACACUUUGAAUCACCACGAUAAUCGUAAAUAUUGUUUAAAUAACUUUUUUUCUCAUAAGUAUCAAUCUGAAUAGUUUUG
Molecule: long non-coding RNA, 737 nt
Organism: Aphidius gifuensis
Lineage: Eukaryota; Metazoa; Arthropoda; Insecta; Hymenoptera; Braconidae
Exons: 3
Source: RefSeq, a predicted model, not a curated record